GGUCCCCGUAGUGUAGCGGUUAUCACGUCGCCCUGUCACGGCGAAGAUCGCGGGUUCGAUUCCCGUCGGGACCG
This 74-nucleotide transfer RNA is filed under the name Streptococcus dysgalactiae subsp. equisimilis RE378. RNAcentral's name for it is "tRNA-Asp (GTC) (tRNA-Asp-GTC-2-1)". It matches the Rfam family "tRNA". From Rfam's summary of the family: Transfer RNA (tRNA) molecules are approximately 80 nucleotides in length. Their secondary structure includes four short double-helical elements and three loops (D, anti-codon, and T loops). Further hydrogen bonds mediate the characteristic L-shaped molecular structure. tRNAs have two regions of fundamental functional importance: the anti-codon, which is responsible for specific mRNA codon recognition, and the 3' end, to which the tRNAs corresponding amino acid is attached (by aminoacyl-tRNA synthetases). tRNAs cope with the degeneracy of the genetic code in two manners: having more than one tRNA (with a specific anti-codon) for a particular amino acid; and 'wobble' base-pairing, i.e. permitting non-standard base-pairing at the 3rd anti-codon position. Lineage: Bacteria; Bacillati; Bacillota; Bacilli; Lactobacillales; Streptococcaceae. The record is from RNAcentral.